Molecule: ribosomal RNA, 492 nt
Filed under: uncultured bacterium
Lineage: Bacteria
Description: partial 16S ribosomal RNA
Rfam family: Bacterial small subunit ribosomal RNA
Source: RNAcentral
AGUGAACGCUGGCGGUAGGCCUAACACAUGCAAGUCGAACGGAAACACACUAAGAGCUUGCUCUUCCGGGUGGCGAGUCGCGUACGGAAGACGAAUAUAUCGGACUCUACUUUUUCGUGUGGGCUAACGUAGGUAAGGUUACUCCCAUAUCGGAGCUGCUCUACGGGUGUAAGCAUGGGAACUUUUGACCUUGCGCGGAUGAACGCGCCGAUCACGGGUUAGCUAGUUGGCGAGUUAAAGGCCCACCAAGGCGACGAUCCGUAGCUGGUCUGAGAGGAUGAUCAGCCACACUGGAACUGAGACACGGUCCAGACUCCUACGGGAGGCAGCAGUGGGGAAUAUUGGACAAUGGGCGCAAGCCUGAUCCAGCCAGACCGCGUGGGUGAAGAAGGCCUUCGGGUUGUAAAGCCCUUUUGUUGGGAAAGAAAAGCAGCAGGUUAAUACCCCGCUGUUCUGACGGUACCCAAAGAAUAAGCACCGGCUAACUUCGUG